CUCUCUCUCUCUCUCUCCUGUUUGUAGCAGUGAAGUGAAAUGCUGGGAAUUUAGAAUUUAGAAAGAAAAAAUCAACGAAGACGAAGAAGAAGACGAAAAAUAAAGGAAAAAGAAAUGAGAAAUGCUUCACAUUCUCUCAUAUAACAAGUGAAUGUGUGUGUGUGCAAAAAGCUAAAGUGACGGAGUUUGACAGUGCUUUUAUCUUUCCGUCUAAGCUCAGCCAUAGCAGUACCCACCCCCCGACAGGUGACCUUUUUCUUUGGGGUUUUGGCCCCCACUCCACCCGGUUUCCUCCUCCUUUUUUUUCUCUUUUUCCCUCGUUCCUCGAAUCAGAUCAGAUCAUAAGUAUUAGGAGAUAUGCACAAAUCAAUUAGUACUUGAAUUUGUAUUAAACUGUUAAUCAAACUAAAAAAUUGAUUAAACUAAUUGCUUUUUAUUUUUCAUUUUUAAGUAUUUACUUGACUUGAAAGAAUCAAUUGAACAAAGGAACUAAUAAUAUGAUCAAUUCGAUCACUUAUCAAA
Long non-coding RNA from Gossypium raimondii (Peruvian cotton), 522 nucleotides. RefSeq lists it as uncharacterized. The transcript has 2 exons. Lineage: Eukaryota; Viridiplantae; Streptophyta; Magnoliopsida; Malvales; Malvaceae. The record is from RefSeq and is a predicted model, not a curated record.